GGAAAGUUUGCUCCAAUUAUUUUACAUUUAAUGAUAUAUUUACCGAUUAAAAUUACUCAACUAUAUUCUAUUUUAUAAGUUAAUUUAGUAAUUAAUCUCUAAAUUUAGAUUAAUCUAGCUUUUCCGUAUAUUCUUGAAUCUAGCUACUGUUUUCUUUCUCCAUAUUUGAUUUCACAAAUUAUGUGAAACGUGAGAGCACAACAAUUAAUUACAUUUGAAUAUUUGAUUACAGUUUAGCUAGUUAAAAAAAAAAAAAGUAUCUUGGAUAUGUAUGUCACUGCUGUGAUAAGAAGUAGUAAUAAUAAUGCAGAAAAUUAGAGGUGCGAAACCGUAUAAAAUGGGACAUAAAGUUAUGUGCUUUCAUUUUCACUCCCAUGCAUCUUCACCUUUUUUCGUUGUCAUAUUUCUC
This 409-nucleotide long non-coding RNA is filed under the name Capsella rubella. RNAcentral describes it as "long non-coding RNA (CRUB_LNC001059)". Lineage: Eukaryota; Viridiplantae; Streptophyta; Magnoliopsida; Brassicales; Brassicaceae. The record is from RNAcentral.